This 2784-nucleotide long non-coding RNA is filed under the name Olea europaea subsp. europaea. Lineage: Eukaryota; Viridiplantae; Streptophyta; Magnoliopsida; Lamiales; Oleaceae. The record is from RNAcentral.
GGUACAAUCUUAUCACAAUUCCUAACCAAACACAAUGAGAUCUAUUGGAUGGGAAUCGAAAUAAUUUAAUUUUCCGCUGUGCAUGUAUAAGUAGAUUCCCAACAUUACUUUAGUAUCCUUAAAAAGAAAAAUGCAAGCAACAUUUCACAAGCAUAAAUGCAACGUGAUUCGAUAUGAUACACAACAAAUUAGCAUAUCACAAUGAGACGGUGAAACUGGAGAAAAAUAUACCUCUUCUGUAGUCAUUUCCAAUAUCAUUUUCUAUUUUCUCAAUAGAGCUUAUGACAUUGCUACAGUUGUUCUAAACAGCAUCUUUAUCUAGUUGACCACAGUACACAACUUGAUAUCGUAUAACUAUCUUGUUCAAUGUAUUUGUAGCAGUAAUCUUGUUCAAUGUAUUUGUAGCAGUAGAUUUUUGAUUGCAGAGAAGGAAUAGUAGUAGUAAUCAUUGGACUACAUUUAUAAGAAACCACAAAUAAUGCAUAUAAAAAGCAUUCAGCAACACCAAAUAAGGUUACCAUUUUGAACCCAACAUGCUUCCCUAGUAUAAAUACACAAAAGAGUUGAGAAAGAAGACCUCGGAUCUGCAUUUGAUGGACUAUCUUUGAAUUAAAAGGUGAUCAUCUAGAGGAGAUUUACUUCCACUCACAUUCUAUCCUACAAACUAUCAUUCUAUUUGAGCAAUAGUCUGGUUUUUUUUGAGACAUUGAUGUGCUAUCUCUAGAUCAAAUUAUAUUUUCAUUAUAUGUGAAUUUGAAUUAUGAAAGUAGCUUUGUAUUUGGACCUGUGCCUUGACUUAUAGCUGUUAAGUAAUGAUCUAGAAUCAAUCUGCAUAUUUGCUUAGGCUAUGGCAUGAGAGAAACUGCAUGGAAUGGAAAAUGGAGAGUGGAAAGGUUUUGGGGAAUCAACUUUUUCUUGUUGACUGAAGAUGAAGGCUUUAAAGGAUGGAAAGUGGGUGGAAAACAAUUUUUUUUUUCUUUUAUUUAAGCGAGAUAUGUCCCUUUUUUUAACAACAUACAUUGAACUCUUGAAGAAUUUCAGUAUUCUUGCUUUAUGAUUUUCCUGCUGUAACAAUGCAGAUGUGGAUUGGGGAUUUUAAUUUGUUGGCAAUGGCAGAGGUAUGGUGGUAAGUACUGGUCUGAACUACGAAUUUCCAAUUUAACAACAGAAUUGACAAUACAGACAAAUCUAUAGCAUGGAGUAAGCAGGAAGCUGAAAGAAAAGAAAUUUGACAAGUGAAGUUUCACCAAGAUGAUUUGCAAAUACAGCAUAAAAUUUGAAGGGCUCUUAUUCCUGCUAUGUUUGACAACUCUUAUGUCAUCUAUGAUAAUGGCAAAUAUCCAUUGUUUUCCACAAAUGAUAUCUUCUACAUGAUUAAAGAUCUUUUUUAGAAAUAAAUAAUUUGCAUAGACAACUUAUUUUAAAGCUUGUGGAAUCUCUUGAAUUAUGAAUCUUGAAUAAGAAAGGCAACAAAAGGAAAAUGCAAAUGUCAUUGACAAAGAACUGUUAAAGUAGCCUUAUUGCUAAGUUCCAUAAUAUAUAAGAGGAGUCAUCAUUUUUUUAUACAUAUCAUACAAGUAAAUAACUAUUUUUUUGAAGAAGAUUAUAGUUUGUGAAUGGAGAAUAUAGGAGGACAAAUAGCCAAUAUAUAUAUAUAUAUAUACAUAUAUAUAUAUAUAUAUAUAUAUAUAUAUAUAUCAGAAAAGGUUUUUCUUGUUCUCUUUCGAACAAACAACUUUUGUACGGUACAAGCAACCAAACAAAUGUUAGCAUGUUUGAUGUGAAGAAUUAACGAGAGAAAUGUAUAUUUUAAUUCAAUAGAAGUUGUUGGGUAGAUGAAUAUGUUUGCUCAUAUGUUUGUCCUAAUAACCAUUCAAGUACUAAAAUUUUUUCACUUGAAAUAUCUGCCAUGCAAUUUCAUAACAAAAACUGUCUUAUUUUGCAUCUCUUUCUGAAUUGGAAGAAUUUAAAGUUGCGAUAGAUGCCCAUAGUUAAAGGAUGAGUUUCCUAAAAUGGGAAUUGAAGUUCAGACAAAAAGACUAUUAUAGGUUUUGCUUGUUGCACUUGGAAGCAACCAGGUUGAUAAAUGAGGCAAUGAGAAGCUAACACACAAUUCUGCACUCUUUCAUCUCUUUUCUCUUUAAGGUCUGAGAUUCUGUUUUUCAGCUUCUUGAAUGCAUGCAUGUUUUCACUGAAAUGGAAAAGGAUUCAUAGACCAAAAACAAAGUGCCGCAAAGUUUACAACAGAUUGUACACUUGGAGCUAUUAGUCAUAUAGUAUAAUUUAACAAGCAAAUAAGAUCUAGAUAAAGUAAAAUGGAAAAAGCAUCAAGAAUAAUCAUCCAAGACAUUUCCAAGGUAAGCAUUCAAUGAUUUUUAAAAAAUGCUUAAUGCAGUUAUUUUAUUUUAUUUAUUUAUUUAUUUAUUUUUUAGGCUAGUUAGUGCAGUAUUGAAAUACCACAGGUAGCGCAGUGCACUCUCCAGCAGAUUAUGUGACCAAGGUAGUUCAUUUCGUAAAUUUUCAUUUUUACCAUUUUAUUUAGAUCAGAUGACUUAUGAAUGCACUAAUAGAAGAAAGGUGUCUAUUGUUUCCCAAAUGAGAUCGUCAAAAUUAGAAUUUUGAAUAAUCAAAGGAAGAUAAUAAAUUAAGGAUGGCUCACCAGUUUACCAUGUGAUAUCCAACACCUUUAAAAUAAAGCACUCGGAGGGAAGAUUUUCCUCGUUCUCUCGUAUCAGUGUUAUUACAUUGAAUGGAAGAAGUUCCAGAAGUUCCAACAUCACUAUU